GCCGUCCCCCGGGAGGGCCGGGGCGGGCCCGGCCUGGGGCGCUCGGGCCCUCGGCCCUGAGGGGGGCCGGGCCGGCUCUGGAUCAGCGGGAGGAUGUGCUGGGAAUCGAAUUUGCUUCGGAAGGCACCGCCAAGCGCAUCUAAAUUCUUGCUUUCCGAUUCUGCAGCAAAGAACACGUCUGACUCCUCGGCCUCAGGGACAUUGUCAGUACUUUCCGUAGUGCUGUCCGGGAAUGGGAACAGCUGGUGGAGCUCUGGCAAAACACCUGGAGACCAGCCCUCUGCUUCCCAGAGACAGUGCUUUAGGAAAGCCCCUCCAGCCUGGGAAGGAGCUUUUGGCUCCAGACACGUUCCCAGUGCCCAGGAGCAGCAGGACCUGUGCUGUUCCCAGCAGGACAGGAAAAACCACUUAACUCAUCCCAUCUUUGCCCAAAGCUUUGGUGUUUGUGCAGCCAAACCCAACGGGCUCCAGCCUGCACUGGAGGGCCCCUGGUCCUGCCCGUGGUGUGGGAUGCUGGAAUUGCCUCCCUGGAUGUGCACUGAGCUCUUGCUGCAGGGAACUGCCAGGCCUUAAUGGUGGUGAGUUCAUGUUCUUCUCACUGGGGAAUUGGAAAUAAUUAUUAAUUAGUAAUUGCAGAAAUGUUUUCUGAAACCUUUCCUCUUUGCUGGUAGAUCUUCUCUUUCUGCCUUGGAAAUUACAGCUGUUCCCUGCUGUCCUUUGCCCUGCCUGAAUUCCCUGCAGCUCCACUGGGAAAACCUGGGAUAACUCAGAGGGAACAGAGGUGACAUUUUUAGCUGAAAACCUGGGGCAGUUGAGAGGGGACACAAGAACUGUUUGUGUAGGAAAAUGAGAGAGGAUGUCAAGGGGAGCAAGGUGGCAUUUUUGAGGGAAAAGCUGAGGUGAUGAUUAGGGGAGAGAAUGCAAAUUUUUGGAGUAGAAAAGAGCUAAUCAGUAUUGUACUGGAAGGAAAAUUUUG
This 976-nucleotide long non-coding RNA is filed under the name Serinus canaria (Common canary). RNAcentral describes it as "lncRNA (ENSSCAG00000011262.1)". The record is from RNAcentral. Lineage: Eukaryota; Metazoa; Chordata; Aves; Passeriformes; Fringillidae.